CGGGACGGGUGAGUAAUGUCUGGGAAACGUGCCUGAUGGGAGGGGGUAACUACUGGAAACGGUAGCUAAUACCGCAUAACGUCGCAAGACCAAAGAGGGGGACCUUCGGGCCUCUUGCCAUCGGAUGUGCCCAGAUGGGAUUAGCUAGUAGGUGGGGUAACGGCUCACCUAGGCGACGAUCCCUAGCUGGUCUGAGAGGAUGACCAGCCACACUGGAACUGAGACACGGUCCAG
This 234-nucleotide ribosomal RNA is filed under the name uncultured bacterium. Its description in RNAcentral is "partial 16S ribosomal RNA". It matches the Rfam family "Bacterial small subunit ribosomal RNA", at positions 100 to 334 of the family's 1533-position model. The record is from RNAcentral.